This 241-nucleotide ribosomal RNA is filed under the name uncultured bacterium. Its description in RNAcentral is "partial 16S ribosomal RNA". It matches the Rfam family "Bacterial small subunit ribosomal RNA", at positions 15 to 235 of the family's 1533-position model. The record is from RNAcentral.
GAUCAUGGCUCAGGAUGAACGCUGGCGGCGUGCCUAACACAUGCAAGUCGAGCGAAGCACUUUGCUUAGAUUCUUCGGAUGAAGAGGAUUGUGACUGAGCGGGCGGACGGGUGAGUAACGCGUGGGUAACCUGCCUCAUACAGGGGGGAUAACAGUUAGAAAUGACUGCUAAUACCGCAUAAGACCACAGCACCGCAUGGUGCGGGGGGUAAAAACUCCGGUGGUAUGAGAUGGACCCCGG